This is a long non-coding RNA of Brassica rapa (field mustard), 2516 nucleotides long. RefSeq lists it as uncharacterized. Lineage: Eukaryota; Viridiplantae; Streptophyta; Magnoliopsida; Brassicales; Brassicaceae. The record is from RefSeq and is a predicted model, not a curated record.
UGAGUGGUCACGGUUUAGAAGAUUUCGAAAGGUAUAUUAAUUUAAUACUAGUAAACAGUUUUAGUCCUCAAUAAUGAGGUGUGUUGUAGCCUGUAGCAAAAGAGACGAUGUGGCAGACAACGAAGCAUACCCCGCGAAUAAUUUGACUUCAAAAACACCAAGGAAGCUUAGCCGGUUAAUCGGACGCAUACGUGGUGGUCGAAACAUGGCCGUGGCAAGAUUGAACAAAAUUGGAGGAUCAACCCUGGAGACCGAGCUUUUGCCAUGUCGUCCAUGUAAUAACGAAACACGGCGUGUCAAGCUAAUUGCCUUGCUGUAAUUAAACAAAAUAAUUUCAGAUCAAAGGCGGGCAUUUUAUCCGUUAAUUUUAAUUUGUUUCACUAUUUUUUUCAAUUCAAUCCAAAAAGUCGAUAUACAAGCAAACCAAAUAUUAAAAAUAAAUCUUGUUAAAAACGUAGAAAAUUACAAAUACUAAAAAAAUAGAGCCAGAUUUCUGCUCUAUUCUAACUUACAAAUAUACGUAUAUCCAAAACUAAAUAUAUAAUUUUAAAUAUAUAAUUUGAUAUAAUUAUUAAUAUAACAUAUAAUUUAUUAAUGUUUAUAAAGUAUUAAAUUUUAAAAAUAAAUUGAAAAUCUUUAUUAAAAUGUAAUUAUGGAAAGACAUUUUUGUGAAUAUAACAAAACAAAUUCACAGUUUUGACAAUAAAACUUAAAUUGUGAUUUUAGCGAAAAAUAAAAUUUUAUAGUUUUGACAAAAAAACCUGGUAAUUUAAAUGAAAAAUGAAAAUUUAUGGAAUAAAAAGAAAUAGGAUAUGUUUUUUUGGGGAGAAAGUGAGAUUUUGUGCUGUGUAAAAAGAAAAAAGGUUUAUAUGAUUUAAAUAAGGAAAAUUAGGCUGUAUAACGCUACAAUAAUGCAUAAUUAGUUUGAUAAUUAUCCUAGUUUUUCUAUAUACCGAUACAAUUUUAUGUAAUAUUGAUGUUUUGUCCCUAACCCCAACCGACUAAACCUACCGAAAAGAAAAUUAAAAAUUCUUAAUUUGAAAAUGUACUACAAGAAAACACAAGAUUAACGACGGCAAAACUCAUAGUAAGUUUUACGAGGAAUUAGCGAAAAAACAAGUUUCGUCGUUAUUCAUUCGUCGUAACGCAUAUUUCCUCGUAAACUAGCGAGAAACACAUUUCGUCUUACGGUGAAGAAAAGUAUUCGUCAUAAAAACCAUGUAACCUUUCCCCGUAAGGAGGACGCUACAUUUCCUCGUAAAUACCUCGAAAGUAACUUCUCGUAAAUUACACGUAAACCCUUCCACGUAAAAUACUCGUUAAACUUUUCUCGUAGUGUUGACGUAAACGUUUUCCUCGUAACUUUCUCGUACACUUUCCACGUAAUGUAGUCGUAAUUUAGCUAUGAAUUUACUUCGAUAUUUUAUACAUAAAUAAGUUUUGAAUUUAUAAUACAACCAACGAAAAGAAAAAAAAAAGAACUAAGGAUCGUUCAUCGCCCGGUAGAAUUCCUCACUCCUCCUCUCUACAUCCGCCUCGUCAUGUGUGCCGGAUGACUCGCUUCGAAUGGGAUUUUGUCGUCGCAUGUUCCUCAACAAGGACUCCCAUUCCAGAUUUGUGGCCACUACAACGUCCAAGAAGCCCUCAACUCCACUCAUACGAGAUGUGAACGAAGAUCGCGUCGAGUCCAAAUCGUUACGCAGCUGAGUGACUUCAUCAUCCCGUCUCUAACCAUAAGACAAUGUCGCUCUCGGAACAUCGUUGAUGGAACCAAUCCCCAACGUAUGUCCAUUUUUCUUAGGAACAGCCUUAAAAACAAAAAAUAAAUAUUGUUAGUUAAAAGUUAAAGUUAAAUUAAAUGAAUAAUAAAAAAAAAAAAAUUUAAAAAAUUACCUCCUCGUAAAUCCUAUCCACUUCAAGUGUGGAUAAGGUGACAGGUAAUCCGUCGGUGGACUCCUCGGUCAGCUGGGCCUGGCGGUCUUCAACCCGACCAACCAAGUCGUUGAAGAUCUGCUCGGACCUAGCAUCUAGAAAUUGGCCCGCCUUGUUCUUAUGGGUUCUCUCGUCUCUUUGGCCUAAAAAACAUUUAAGAAAGUUAGAAUAUAUAUAUAUAUAUAUAAUUAAUAAAAUUAAAUAUUUAAUUACCAUAUCCAGACGGACACCGGCGUGGAGUUUUUGACCCGUAGAGUGAAGCAUCGGCCCGUGGCCGUGCUCAUCUACCAUCUGACGAGGGGGGGGAGAGCAAGAUUCGGCGACUCUAAUGGAGUCAGGAUCCCGCCAAUAACAGAUGAGGCCAUCCCACACCUCCGUGGUGAGCUCAGAGGGUUUACAACGUUCAUACCCCUUCACGAUCCAAUCACCCUUCUAGUUAGAGACCGUGUCCAACAAGCGAGCUUUCGUCUUUGCGUUAAACUCUUUCUUCACCUUCUCAUUGACCCCCAUGGACCAAUAGUAUUUUUUCUGUAACAGAAAAAAUUAAAUUAAUAAUUAGUUUUAAAAAAUUAAAAAAUCUAAAU